Long non-coding RNA from Vitis vinifera (wine grape), 321 nucleotides. RefSeq lists it as uncharacterized. The record is from RefSeq and is a predicted model, not a curated record. The transcript is spliced from 3 exons. Lineage: Eukaryota; Viridiplantae; Streptophyta; Magnoliopsida; Vitales; Vitaceae.
CCUUAAGAUUUAAUUUCUUCUAAGACAAUCUUAAAUUUAUAAGAAUUAAUUAAUUAAUGAAUAAUUCAUUAUUUGAAUUAAUGCUUGAAGUGGAUAAGACUUUUUAACUUAUUAAUCUGUACUUCUUAUGAUGAUAUCUUACCAGGAAGGUGACAAAGAUCUUUGUGGGAGAUUUUGGAACUAUCUUAUAAUAGGGUUGGAUGCUCAAGAAUGUUUUGGUGAUUCUCACUUUAAAUCUUGGCCAAGGAACAUUACUUUGCCUAUAAUUGUUAAAAUCAAGGAUCAACAACAUCAAUGGAAGAAGUUAAAGUUACCUCGAAG